Molecule: ribosomal RNA, 467 nt
Filed under: uncultured bacterium
Lineage: Bacteria
Description: bacterial SSU rRNA
Rfam family: Bacterial small subunit ribosomal RNA
Source: RNAcentral
GAUGAACGCUAGCGGCAGGCUUAAUACAUGCAAGUCAAGGGGUCAGCAAUGGCACCGGCGGACGGGUAAGUAACGCGUACACAACGUACCUUUAACUGGGGGAUAGCAUUUGGAAACGAGUGGUAAUACCGCAUGUGGUUGUAGGGAGGCAUCUUUUGCAACUAAAACUCAGGUGGUUAAAGAUCGGUGUGCGUCCGAUUAGCUAGUUGGUGAGGUAAUGGCUCACCAAGGCGACGAUCGGUAGGGGGCGUGAGAGCGUGAACCCCCACACGGGUACUGAGACACGGACCCGACUCCUACGGGAGGCAGCAGUAAGGAAUAUUGGUCAAUGGAGGCAACUCUGAACCAGCCAUGCCGCGUGAAGGAAGAAGGCGCUAUGCGUUGUAAACUUCUUUUGGGUGGGAAGAAAAUGGUCAAUUUAUUGACAACUGACGGUACCAUCAGAAUAAGCACCGGCUAACUCCGUG